This 72-nucleotide transfer RNA is filed under the name Pteropus alecto (black flying fox). It matches the Rfam family "tRNA". From Rfam's summary of the family: Transfer RNA (tRNA) molecules are approximately 80 nucleotides in length. The record is from Rfam by way of RNAcentral. Lineage: Eukaryota; Metazoa; Chordata; Mammalia; Chiroptera; Pteropodidae.
GGUACCAUAGAGUAGUGGUUAGCACAUCUGCUUUACACGUAGAAGGUACUGGGUUCACACCCAGUGGAGCCA